RNAcentral lists this ribosomal RNA (484 nucleotides) under uncultured bacterium. RNAcentral's name for it is "partial 16S ribosomal RNA". It matches the Rfam family "Bacterial small subunit ribosomal RNA", at positions 30 to 507 of the family's 1533-position model. The record is from RNAcentral.
AUUGAACGCUGGCGGCAGGCCUAACACAUGCAAGUCGAGCGGAUGAAGGGAGCUUGCUCCUGGAUUCAGCGGCGGACGGGUGAGUAAUGCCUAGGAAUCUGCCUGGUAGUGGGGGAUAACGUCCGGAAACGGGCGCUAAUACCGCAUACGUCCUGAGGGAGGAAGUGGGGGAUCUUCGGACCUCACGCUAUCAGAUGAGCCUAGGUCGGAUUAGCUAGUUGGUGGGGUAAAGGCCUACCAAGGCGACGAUCCGUAACUGGUCUGAGAGGAUGAUCAGUCACACUGGAACUGAGACACGGUCCAGACUCCUACGGGAGGCAGCAGUGGGGAAUAUUGGACAAUGGGCGAAAGCCUGAUCCAGCCAUGCCGCGUGUGUGAAGAAGGUCUUCGGAUUAUAAAGCACUUUAAGUUGGGAGGAAGGGCAGUAAGUUAAUACCUUGCUGUUUUGACGUUACCAACAGAAUAAGCACCGGCUAACUUCGUG